AAAACGGAGAGUUUGAUCCUGGCUCAGGAUGAACGCUGGCGGUAUGCUUAACACAUGCAAGUCGAACGAAAUCUUCGGAUUUAGUGGCGGACGGGUGAGUAACGCGUGAGAAUCUGGCUUUAGGUCUGGGACAACCACUGGAAACGGUGGCUAAUACCGGAUGUGCCCUUAGGGGUGAAAGGUUAACUGCCUGAAGAUGAGCUCGCGUCUGAUUAGCUAGUAGGUGUGGUAAGAGCGCACCUAGGCGACGAUCAGUAGCUGGUCUGAGAGGAUGAUCAGCCACACUGGGACUGAG
This 295-nucleotide ribosomal RNA is filed under the name Nostoc sp. C3-bin3. RNAcentral describes it as "partial 16S ribosomal RNA". It matches the Rfam family "Bacterial small subunit ribosomal RNA", at positions 1 to 323 of the family's 1533-position model. Lineage: Bacteria; Bacillati; Cyanobacteriota; Cyanophyceae; Nostocales; Nostocaceae. The record is from RNAcentral.